This 253-nucleotide ribosomal RNA is filed under the name uncultured bacterium. Its description in RNAcentral is "partial 16S ribosomal RNA". It matches the Rfam family "Bacterial small subunit ribosomal RNA", at positions 524 to 776 of the family's 1533-position model. The record is from RNAcentral.
UACGGAGGGUGCAAGCGUUAAUCGGAAUUACUGGGCGUAAAGCGUGCGUAGGCGGUUCGUUAAGUCUGUUGUGAAAGCCCCGGACUCAACCUGGGAAUGGCAAUGGAUACUGGCGAGCUAGAGUGUAUCAGAGGAUGAUGGAAUUCCCGAUGUAACGGUGAAAUGCGUAGAGAUCAAGAGGAACAUCAGUGGCGAAGGCGACCAUCUAGGACAACACUGACGCUGAAGCACGAAAGCAUGGGGAGCAAACAGG